CACUCUAAGGUGACUGCCGGCUAAAAGUCGGAGGAAGGUGGGGGAGUGACGUCAAAUCAUCAUGCCCUUAUGACCUGGGCUACACACGUGCUACAAUGGGCGGUACAAAGGGUCGCGAACCCGCGAGGGGGAGCCAAUCCCAAAAAGCCGCUCUCAGUUCGGAUUGCAGGCUGCAACUCGCCUGCAUGAAGCCGGAAUCGCUAGUAAUCGCGGAUCAGCAUGCCGCGGUGAAUACGUUCCCGGGCCUU
RNAcentral lists this ribosomal RNA (248 nucleotides) under uncultured Anoxybacillus sp. RNAcentral describes it as "partial 16S ribosomal RNA". It matches the Rfam family "Bacterial small subunit ribosomal RNA", at positions 1136 to 1382 of the family's 1533-position model. The record is from RNAcentral. Lineage: Bacteria; Bacillati; Bacillota; Bacilli; Caryophanales; Anoxybacillaceae.